RNAcentral lists this ribosomal RNA (468 nucleotides) under uncultured bacterium. Its description in RNAcentral is "partial 16S ribosomal RNA". It matches the Rfam family "Bacterial small subunit ribosomal RNA", at positions 28 to 507 of the family's 1533-position model. The record is from RNAcentral.
GACGAACGCUGGCGGCGUGCUUAACACAUGCAAGUCGAACGGAAAGGCCCUGCUUUUGUGGGGUGCUCGCGUGGCGAAAGGGUGAGUAACACGUGAGUAACCUUCCCUUGACUUUGGGAUAACUUCAGGAAACUGGGGCUAAUACCGGAUAGGAGCUCCUGCUGCAUGGUGGGGGUUGGAAAGUUUCGGCGGUUGGGGAUGGACUCGCGGCUUAUCAGCUUGUGGGUGGGGUAGUGGCUUACCAAGGCUUUGACGGGUAGCCGGCCUGAGAGGGUGACCGGCAACAUUGGGACUGAGGUACGGCCCAGACGCCUACGGGAGGCAGCAGUGGGGAAUAUGGCACAAUGGGCGGAAGCCGGAUGCAGCAACGCCGCGUGCGGGAUGACGGCCUUCGGGUUGUAAACCGCUUUCGCCUGUGACGAAGCGUGAGUGACGGUAAUGGGUAAAGAAGCACCGGCUAACUACGUG